ACAAACAACUCCACCUGAAAUGUGGAAAGAGGGGCAUGGGAAGAAGAGAAGAGAAAAGAAAUUCAUUCUCUAAAUGCAGAAAAUCUCCACCAUGAACAAAGUUCUGCUAAACUUUAAACUGGUUUUAUUCAUACCAAUUCAGGAAUCAAGGUACUUCCUAUAAUAGUCUGCAGAGAAACAGAACCAGAGCAGCUGCUAUUAUCCAACUCUGUCAGAGAAAGAAUUCUCUUCUUUGUCGCAAUUGUCUCAUUUUGAUGGAACAUGAGUUUAUGAAGGAUUACAGACCAAAUGGAACACCAGAACCAUUGUUUGCAGAACUCCCUAACAAAGCAAGUGGAUCUGAAUCACAAGUGUGGCCUCAAGUCAAUGACCUGCUGUAUUUCAGACAUUCUUUGUGUUUUUGAUAUUCUCAUUUCACUACUUCUACUCACAAAAACUGUUAAUAUGCCUUAGAAGUCAGCACGCAUCCAUUUCAGAAGUUGCCUACAUUAUGAACUGACCUGUACUAUAUAGGAAAGCCUGGAAACUUCAUGAAGAAGAGAAACUUUCAAAGACCAUCCAAAAUCUAGUAUUCCUGAGCUCUCCAUCUCAGAAAUUCAGAGUUCUAUUUAUCUCUCUACUAAAUCCUUUAACAUUGGAGUCCCCAUAUAUGUACAUAAGGAGGAAAGUUCUUACUACAUAUUGGACUUCGAAGUCUUCAGCUCUGGACAUUGCCCAGAAAAUUUUACCCAAGGUGCUGUGUAAAGCUUGUGAAACCCAUUCCAUUCAGAAUAACAAUACCAGCCAACUCUAGUGUAUUUUUCCUAUUUCACUGACUGCUAAUGCUGACCUGCAACAGGGAGUUCUGGGUUGAAUGACUUACGGCUUCCUCAAUUAGUUUUUAGUCUGGCAGACACUGCCACACAGCCCACCAUUUCCCUGGGCAAAUUACCUGUCUGUUUAUAGCAGCAGCCCACAGAACUGAAGUGUAAUACUGACAAACCAAUUUUUCAAAUGAAUUUGUAGAGACUUCCGCCGAAAGCAAGACAGCAGAAAAAAAAAAAAAAAGAAUGUGGUUCUCACAAGAGAGAAAUAGAUUUUCUGCUUUGGCUGUUUAUAAGAACUUCAGAUGAUAAACGAGCUGAUAACAACAGUA
Mastomys coucha (southern multimammate mouse) is the source of this 1135-nucleotide long non-coding RNA. RefSeq lists it as uncharacterized. The record is from RefSeq and is a predicted model, not a curated record. The transcript is spliced from 3 exons. Lineage: Eukaryota; Metazoa; Chordata; Mammalia; Rodentia; Muridae.